GUUCUGGAAGGAUGACAUCACUCAAAAUGUGAGGACCCAGCAGACAGAGCACACGCCCUGGCUCCAUGCCCCAGAGGCCUGUCCGAGGAGCAGGGGCAAGCACAAGGAGAAUCUUUGACUCCUGUUCCCUAAGCUUUCCUUCCAUUAGAGCCCCAUGACCAGGGUGAGCAGGGAGCAACGCUUUAACUCUGAAGGGGUUUCGGAGGUCCUGAACCAAGAGGUGACCAGCCACAC
Sapajus apella (tufted capuchin) is the source of this 234-nucleotide long non-coding RNA. RefSeq lists it as uncharacterized. The record is from RefSeq and is a predicted model, not a curated record. NCBI's taxonomy places the organism in Eukaryota, Metazoa, Chordata, Mammalia, Primates, Cebidae. The transcript is spliced from 3 exons.